CACGUAGGGGGCAAGCGUUGUCCGGAUUUAUUGGGUUUAAAGGGUGCGUAGGCGGUCUGGUAAGUCGGCGGUGAAAGCCCAGGGCUCAACCCUGGAAUUGCCUUUAAGACUGCAUCGCUUGAAUCAUGGAGAGGUGAGUGGAAUUCCGAGUGUAGAGGUGAAAUUCGUAGAUAUUCGGAAGAACACCAGUGGCGAAGGCGACUCACUGGACAUGUAUUGACGCUGAGGUGCGAAAGCGUGGGGAGCAAACAGG
RNAcentral lists this ribosomal RNA (253 nucleotides) under uncultured bacterium. RNAcentral's name for it is "partial 16S ribosomal RNA". It matches the Rfam family "Bacterial small subunit ribosomal RNA", at positions 524 to 776 of the family's 1533-position model. The record is from RNAcentral.